Molecule: ribosomal RNA, 489 nt
Filed under: uncultured bacterium
Lineage: Bacteria
Description: partial 16S ribosomal RNA
Rfam family: Bacterial small subunit ribosomal RNA
Source: RNAcentral
AUGAACGCUAGCUACAGGCUUAACACAUGCAAGUCGAGGGGCAGCAUGGUCUUAGCUUGCUAAGGCCGAUGGCGACCGGCGCACGGGUGAGUAACACGUAUCCAACCUGCCGUCUACUCUUGGACAGCCUUCUGAAAGGAAGAUUAAUAUAAGAUGGCAUCAUGAGUUCACAUGUUCACAUGAUUAAAGGUAUUCCGGUAGACGAUGGGGAUGCGUUCCAUUAGAUAGUAGGCGGGGUAACGGCCCACCUAGUCUUCGAUGGAUAGGGGUUCUGAGAGGAAGGUCCCCCACAUUGGAACUGAGACACGGUCCAAACUCCUACGGGAGGCAGCAGUGAGGAAUAGUGGGCAAGGGGCGAGAGCCUGAACCAGCCAAGUAGCGUGAAGGAUGACUGCCCUAUGGGUUGUAAACUUCUUUUAUAAAGGAAUAAAGUCGGGUAUGUAUACCCGUUUGCAUGUACUUUAUGAAUAAGGAUCGGCUAACUCCGAG